GAUGAACGCUGGCGGCGUGCCUAAUACAUGCAAGUCGAGCGAACAGACGAGGAGCUUGCUCCUCUGACGUUAGCGGCGGACGGGUGAGUAACACGUGGAUAACCUACCUAUAAGACUGGGAUAACUUCGGGAAACCGGAGCUAAUACCGGAUAAUAUAUUGAACCGCAUGGUUCAAUAGUGAAAGACGGUUUUGCUGUCACUUAUAGAUGGAUCCGCGCCGCAUUAGCUAGUUGGUAAGGUAACGGCUUACCAAGGCAACGAUGCGUAGCCGACCUGAGAGGGUGAUCGGCCACACUGGAACUGAGACACGGUACAGACUCCGACGGGAGGCAGCAGUAGGGAAUCUUCCGCAAAGGGCGAAAGCUUGACGGAGCAACGCCGCGUGAGUGAUGAAGGUCUUCGGAUCGUAAAACUCUGUUAUUAGGGAAGAACAAAUGUGUAAGUAACUAUGCACGUCUUGACGGUACCUAAUCAGAAAGCCACGGCUAACUACGUG
This 497-nucleotide ribosomal RNA is filed under the name uncultured bacterium. RNAcentral describes it as "partial 16S ribosomal RNA". It matches the Rfam family "Bacterial small subunit ribosomal RNA", at positions 28 to 507 of the family's 1533-position model. The record is from RNAcentral.